GGGCAUUUUGUUUUACCACAUGUCUUUUUGUUUGACAGCUGAGCUCCUGUGACUUCUACUCUGUGCAGAUGACUGCACGCUCACGGAGCAUAGUCUGGAUGACAUUCAGCUGAUUGUUGACGCAACGCAGAAGUUUUGGCUGUCAGUCAAAAUCAAAAAGACACAAGUGAUGUUCCAGCCAAGCCCCAACGGAUCUUAUUUUGAUCCAGAAGUUUCAAUUUAUGGGAUGAAUCUGGUGUCAGCCACAACGUUUUGCUACCUUGGAGUUCUAAUGUCACCCUGGAUGAUGAGACUUCACAGUGGAUCUCAAAAGCCACUGUAGCUUUUGAGUUUUUUUGUUUGGAAGAGUCAUGGUGAUAGCUGACCACAAAGAGCAGGGUCUACACGGAGGGCUGCUGUAUUGACUUCCUUACUGUACAGCAAGGAAACAUGGACUCCGUACAGGAAACACCUGCAUCAGCUCGAAGCAUGGCUGGAUCUGUGACAUCGAAUGGCAAGGCCGCAUAGUCAACACCAAGGUCUUGGAGAUGUGUGGAACUACAAGCACAGAGUCACUCAGCCCAGCUGCAGUUAGCUGAUCAUGUAGUAUGCAUUGCUCCAGCAUACCAAAAGCACUGUGUUAUGGUCAGCUAGAGGAAGGCAGACGUUGAAUCAAACGCCCAUAUCUACACGUUAUGGAGAAACUAAAAGCAAAACUAAAGAACUGUGGCUUGAUCCUGUCCACCUUUGAACCAUAAACAACAAUUGUGGCAAAACGUUUGAGGAGAACUACAUCAUCACGGCAAAGCAGAAACGAGCAGCGAUGCUGCCACCAGGACCACGGCCUUCCACUGUGAUGACUGCAGCAGAGAGUUUGGGUCACGCAGGCGACUGUCACCGGCGCUGAGACGAUCAUUUGUCGACACCAGGGAGAGAGACACCAUCAACAGAGUGCAUUACCUUUUCCAGCUACAUCUUUACCAUGACAAGAUAUCUGUGAAAAAUGAUGAAUUGAUGUCUUCACCCACUAUCAAACAGAAGCCAGUGGAAUACACAGACACAUUUUCAUGCUUAUUCCCAGUGAAUGACCCCCCCACCUCCCCCGACAUCGCAUCAAAUCCUCCUAUCACACUUUAGAGGCAAAUGACAUCCACAUCAGUAUCAGCAAAAUCCAUAUCAGUUUCCCUUGUCCUCCUGUGGCAGGUGUUUCAUCAAAGUGACGGCUUCUUCUGUUCAAUCUGUUGAUCCAUCUGAACAGGAAACUCAGAACAAAUGGUUCUGUUGUCUGUCAUCAGCUGAUCACUGUUAAUCAUAAUAUCACCACUAGGCCAUCAAAGCAUCUUACCUUUGAGGGACGUUGGUUUUUACCAUCACACAUUUUUAACAAACCACUACAGUAUGUAUGGAAUUCCAAAGCCGGCAGGUCAUUUGUAAUUCACCUUGAGAUGAAGGCAAUGACAGCAGCAGAGAGUUACACCUUGAUGAUAUUAGCGACCAUUGUUGGAUGUGUCUUAAUGGCUGCUCAAACAGGAUAUUGACCUAAGAAAAGUAAGCCUGCAGGGCUUUAUGAUUCUUAGCAGAAUGAAGGAAAGCCAUGGAUCCCGUUGAGAGUGACACUUUGGUCAUCCAUUCAUAGUCAUUCAUCACAGAUGCGGGAAGUGGGAUUCCUAUAUCCAUUAAGCCAAGAUAGAUGCACAGUUCCCUGGUGGCCAUUUAAGUGAGCGAGUCCAUCCAGGAGGGGUCAGCUCUUCAGAAAUAGCCUUGAACCUACCUUGAAAUCCCAAAGCAUUCAUUGUGGAUUAGAAGCGAUGCCUGGGUGAGUGGGGAACGUAUCAUCAUUGAUUUUUCUCCACUGUAAUUGUUACAGUUUGGACUUUGUUUUAUUACUGAAACAGCCUGUCAGUCAGAGGCACUGGAAUCAGUCUGACAGCACUAGUCAUCUGUCAUCUGAUCUCUGAACACUUCUGAGAAUCAACAGAUCACUCGUCAGUGUCACCUUCAUGUAUGAGCGUCUCCUUGUCUUUGACCGUAUAUCUGACCCAUGCUGUUCUGCACAGAAGAAAGUCAUGACAGUUUCAUGCAAAGACAAAGGAUCACGGCAAUUUACAGAAAUGCGUCUCAGUUUCUGUGCUCGACCGUUCUGAUUUUGGGCAAACACGAAGAAAUGAAACCUGACUACAAAUGUGUUUUUAUUGUUUUAGCAGGAAAUGAUCUUUGAUUUCUAACUAGUGCAUCAACAAUGAA
Cynoglossus semilaevis (tongue sole) is the source of this 2223-nucleotide long non-coding RNA. RefSeq lists it as uncharacterized. The transcript is spliced from 3 exons. The record is from RefSeq and is a predicted model, not a curated record. Lineage: Eukaryota; Metazoa; Chordata; Actinopteri; Pleuronectiformes; Cynoglossidae.